RNAcentral lists this long non-coding RNA (487 nucleotides) under Aotus nancymaae (Ma's night monkey). RNAcentral describes it as "lncRNA (ENSANAG00000038842.1)". The record is from RNAcentral. Lineage: Eukaryota; Metazoa; Chordata; Mammalia; Primates; Aotidae.
GCGGGAGGAGCCUGCGGGGGCGAGGAGUGCGUCUCAAGGUCCUCCCUGCACAUCUGGCGCAAUGGGGAGCGUUCGCCUUUCUUCCCCCGGUUUUGUUCUCACAGCUGUGUCCAUUCCGCCCGUGACCCCGCGAGUGAUCCCUGACAGCUAGUAAAUGGCAUUAACAAAGCGUUUCACGGACUACAACGGCUUAACAGUGGCUCCUCCCCUGCCCUGCGACCAUCCGGGCCGUCAUUCCUUCCAGGAUUCCCGCGCGGUUCUGUGUGCCCAGAGCGCGAGCGCCAGGAUUUUGGGUGAAGAAUACAGAGACGUUCCAUUUCAAAGAAAAAAGGAUGAUGCAACAGCCUUCUUUAAGGAGAGAGUAAAUAUUCGCUUUAGGGAACACCUGCACCCCUGGUUUGCAGUCGGUCCUUGGGUGAGUCACCGUGAGCCCCAGGUUCCCAUCUGUAAAGGAUGGGUAGCGCUCCUUCACCUGUUUCUUCACUAA